RNAcentral lists this ribosomal RNA (445 nucleotides) under uncultured Thiocapsa sp. Its description in RNAcentral is "bacterial SSU rRNA". It matches the Rfam family "Bacterial small subunit ribosomal RNA", at positions 939 to 1382 of the family's 1533-position model. The record is from RNAcentral. Lineage: Bacteria; Pseudomonadati; Pseudomonadota; Gammaproteobacteria; Chromatiales; Chromatiaceae.
AUGUGGUUUAAUUCGAUGCAACGCGAAGACCUUACCAGCCCUUGACAUCCUCGGAAUCCUGCAGAGAUGCGGGAGUGCCUUCGGGAGCCGAGAGACAGGUGCUGCAUGGCUGUCGUCAGCUCGUGUCGUGAGAUGUUGGGUUAAGUCCCGUAACGAGCGCAACCCUUGCCCUUAGUUGCCAGCGCGUCAAGGCGGGAACUCUAAGGGGACUGCCGGUGAUAAACCGGAGGAAGGUGGGGGAUGACGUCAAGUCAUCAUGGCCCUUAUGGGCUGGGCUACACACGUGCUACAAUGGCCGGUACAGAGGGUUGCCAACCCGCGAGGGGGAGCCAAUCUCAGAAAACCGGUCGUAGUCCGGAUCGCAGUCUGCAACUCGACUGCGUGAAGUCGGAAUCGCUAGUAAUCGCGAAUCAGCAUGUCGCGGUCGAAUACGUUCCCGGGCCUU